Long non-coding RNA from Haplochromis burtoni (Burton's mouthbrooder), 412 nucleotides. RefSeq lists it as uncharacterized. The record is from RefSeq and is a predicted model, not a curated record. NCBI's taxonomy places the organism in Eukaryota, Metazoa, Chordata, Actinopteri, Cichliformes, Cichlidae. The transcript is spliced from 2 exons.
UCAGGAAUAUGUAACCCAUAUCAACUACUCCCUGUCACAUGACCCACGUCAGCUGAUUUGAGGUCCCUCUUCUGAUUGGCUCCUUUCACGUCGCGGCAACUCUGAAAACCGGCUGUGGAGGGAUACUUCCGGGUUCGACUCCUGCUGUGGCUGUGAGCUUAUGGCAUUUAGAGCGGUAUUGGAAAACAAAGCGUUUUCUCUCCUCAAUUCAUCUUUAAACUUUAAACUCAGCGGUCAGGUUUUUUUUUCCCCUUUGAAUUGAUCUUCUUCAUAUUGAAGUGGCGAGCCGGUAGGACCAUUCUUUGUUUUCCCCUCUUUUCCCCCACUUAGCCGUCUUUGGAUUACGGACAUAUUUCCCCCUUGUAUGAAGCUGGACCCUAAGGAGGAAUACCUUAAAAGUGAACUUUAAAAA